GAGGGGAUAGCUCAGUGGCAGAGCGCAUGCUUAGCAUGCAUGAGGUCCUGGGUUCAAUCCUCAGUACCUCCA
This 72-nucleotide transfer RNA is filed under the name Camelus bactrianus (Bactrian camel). It matches the Rfam family "tRNA". From Rfam's summary of the family: Transfer RNA (tRNA) molecules are approximately 80 nucleotides in length. Their secondary structure includes four short double-helical elements and three loops (D, anti-codon, and T loops). Further hydrogen bonds mediate the characteristic L-shaped molecular structure. tRNAs have two regions of fundamental functional importance: the anti-codon, which is responsible for specific mRNA codon recognition, and the 3' end, to which the tRNAs corresponding amino acid is attached (by aminoacyl-tRNA synthetases). tRNAs cope with the degeneracy of the genetic code in two manners: having more than one tRNA (with a specific anti-codon) for a particular amino acid; and 'wobble' base-pairing, i.e. permitting non-standard base-pairing at the 3rd anti-codon position. RNAcentral also lists the same sequence under 3 other names. Lineage: Eukaryota; Metazoa; Chordata; Mammalia; Artiodactyla; Camelidae. The record is from Rfam by way of RNAcentral.